CUUGGUCAUUUAGAGGAAGUAAAAGUCGUAACAAGGUUUCCGUAGGUGAACCUGCGGAAGGAUCAUUAUCAAAACAGCGGACUUCGGUCCUUGCUGCACCCUUGUCUUUUGCGUACCGUAUGUUUCCUCGGCGGGCUUGCCUGCCGGUUGGACAAUAUCAAACCUUUUUGUAGUUGCAAUCAGCGUCAGAAAACAAAUAAUAAUUACAACUUUCAACAACGGAUCUCUUGGUUCUGGCAUCGAUGAAGAACGCAGCGAAAUGCGAAAAGUAGUGUGAAUUGCAGAAUUCAGUGAAUCAUCGAAUCUUUGAACGCACAUUGCGCCCCUUGGUAUUCCAUGGGGCAUGCCUGUUCGAGCGUCAUUUUGUACCCUCAAGCACUGCUUGGUGUUGGGCGUUUGUCCUGCAAAGGACUCGCCUGAAAGCGAUUGGCGGCCAACGUACUGGUGGUAGAGCGCAGCACAAUUUGCGUCUCUCCCUUCUACGUCGGCGUCCAUGAAGCCUUAUUCAAACGUUUGACCUCGGAUCAGGUAGGGAUACCCGCUGAACUUAAGCAUAUCAAUAAGCGGAGGAAAAGAAACCAACAGGGAUUGCCCUAGUAACGGCGAGCGAAGCGGCAUCAGCUCAAAUUUGAAAUCUGGCUCUUUCAGAGUCCGAGUUGUAAUUUGCAGAGGGCGCUUUGGUGUCGGCAGCGGUCCAAGUUCCUUGGAACAGGACGUCACAGAGGGUGAGAAUCCCGUACGUGGUCGCUGACCUACACCGUGUAAAGCCCCUUCGACGAGUCGAGUUGUUUGGGAAU
This 797-nucleotide small RNA is filed under the name uncultured Phaeosphaeria. RNAcentral describes it as "eukaryotic LSU rRNA". The stretch from base 515 to 797 matches the Rfam family "Eukaryotic large subunit ribosomal RNA", at positions 1 to 281 of the family's 3401-position model. Lineage: Eukaryota; Fungi; Ascomycota; Dothideomycetes; Pleosporales; Phaeosphaeriaceae. The record is from RNAcentral.